This 342-nucleotide ribosomal RNA is filed under the name uncultured bacterium. RNAcentral describes it as "bacterial SSU rRNA". It matches the Rfam family "Bacterial small subunit ribosomal RNA", at positions 30 to 371 of the family's 1533-position model. The record is from RNAcentral.
AUUGAACGCUGGCGGCGUGCCUAACACAUGCAAGUCGAGCGGCAGCGCGGGAGCAAUCCUGGCGGCGAGCGGCGAACGGGUGAGUAAUGCUUCGGAAUCUGCCCAUGUAGUGGGGAAUAACCAGCCGAAAGGUUGGCUAAUACCGCAUACGACCUACGGGUGAAAGCAGGGGAGUCGUAAGACCUUGCGCUAUUGGAUGAGCCGAAGUCGGAUUAGCUUGUUGGGAGGUAACGGCUCACCAAGGCGACAAUCCGUAGCUGGUCUGAGAGGACGACCAGCCACACUGGGACUGAGACACGGCCCAGACUCCUACGGGAGGCAGCAGUGGGGAAUAUUGGACAA